RNAcentral lists this ribosomal RNA (2140 nucleotides) under Plasmodium falciparum (malaria parasite P. falciparum). RNAcentral's name for it is "SSU rRNA". It matches the Rfam family "Eukaryotic small subunit ribosomal RNA". Lineage: Eukaryota; Apicomplexa; Aconoidasida; Haemosporida; Plasmodiidae. RNAcentral also lists the same sequence under 5 other names. The record is from RNAcentral.
CCUGGUUGAUCUUGCCAGUAGUCAUAUGCUUGUCUCACAGAUUAAGCCAUGCAAGUGAAAGUACAUAUGUAAAUAAUAUAUUGAAACUGCGAACGGCUCAUUAAAACAGUUAUAAUCUACUUGAUGUUUUUAAUAUAAGGAUAACUACGGAAAAUCUGUAGCUAAUACUUGUGAAAAUACCUUUUGAUAUAUACAUAUGUAUGUAUCAUUAAGGUAUGUAUUUGUUAGAUAUAAGAAUAAAAUAAAUAUAAUUGAAUUAUAACAAAGAAGAAACACAUAAAAUAUGUGUAUUAUCAAUCGAGUAUCUGACCUAUCAGCUUUUGAUGUUAGGGUAUUGACCUAACAUGGCUAUGACGGGUAACGGGGAAUUAGAGUUCGAUUCCGGAGAGGGAGCCUGAGAAAUAGCUACCACAUCUAAGGAAGGCAGCAGGCGCGUAAAUUACCCAAUUCUAAAAAAGAGAGGUAGUGACAAGAAAUAACAAUACAAUAUCGAAAAAUGAUUUUGUAAUUGGAAUGAUAGGAAUUUACAAGGUUCCUAGAGAAACAAUUGGAGGGCAAGUCUGGUGCCAGCAGCCGCGGUAAUUCCAGCUCCAAUAGCAUAUAUUAAAAUUGUUGCAGUUAAAACGUUCGUAGUUGAAUAUUAAAGAAUCCGAUGUUUCAUUUAAACUGGUUUGGGAAAACCAAAUAUAUUAUAUAUUUUGCUUUGUUCAAAAUAAGGUUUUCUAAUAAAUUAUGUUUUUAUCAGAUAUGACAGAAUCUUUUUUAAAAUCUCUUCAAUAUGCUUUUAUUGCUUUUGAGAGGUUUUGUUACUUUGAGUAAAAUUAAGUGUUCAUAACAGACGGGUAGUCAUGAUUGAGUUCAUUGUGUUUGAAUACUACAGCAUGGAAUAACAAAUAUGAAUAAGCUAAUUAUUUUUUUUUUUCAUAAUUUUUUUUGAUAUUCUUAUUAGCUUAGUUACGAUUAAUAGGAGUAGCUUUGGGGGCAUUCGUAUUCAGAUGUCAGAGGUGAAAUUCUAAGAUUUUCUGGAGACGGACUACUGCGAAAGCAUUUGCCUAAUCUAUUUCCAUUAAUCAAGAACGAAAGUUAAGGGAGUGAAGACGAUCAGAUACCGUCGUAAUCUUAACCAUAAACUAUACCGACUAGGUGUUGGAUGAAUAUAAAAAAUAUAUAAAUAUGUAGCAUUUCUUAGGGAAUGUUGAUUUUAUAUUAGAAUUGCUUCCUUCAGUACCUUAUGAGAAAUCAAAGUCUUUGGGUUCUGGGGCGAGUAUUCGCGCAAGCGAGAAAGUUAAAAGAAUUGACGGAAGGGCACCACCAGGCGUGGAGCUUGCGGCUUAAUUUGACUCAACACGGGAAAACUCACUAGUUUAAGACAAGAGUAGGAUUGACAGAUUAAUAGCUCUUUCUUGAUUUCUUGGAUGGUGAUGCAUGGCCGUUUUUAGUUCGUGAAUAUGAUUUGUCUGGUUAAUUCCGAUAACGAACGAGAUCUUAACCUGCUAAUUAGCGGUAAGUACACUAUAUUUUUAUUUGAAAUUGAAUAUAGGUAAUUAUACAUGUUUAUUCAGUGUUCAAAUUAGGAUAUUUUUUUAUUAAAAUAUUCUUUUCCCUGUUCUACUAUAAUAAUUUGUUUUUUUUUACUCUAUUUCUCUCUUCUUUUAAGAAUGUACUUGUUUGAUUAAAUAAAGCUUCUUAGAGGAACAGUGUGUAUCUAACACAAGGAAGUUUAAGGCAACAACAGGUCUGUGAUGUCCUUAGAUAAACUAGGCUGCACGCGUGCUACAAUGAUAUAUAUAACAAGUUGUUAAAAAUGUACUUAUAAAUAAGUGUGUACAGUUUUUCCUGUACUGAAAAGUAUAGGUAAUCUUUAUCAGUAUAUAUCGUAAUUGGGAUAGAUUAUUGCAAUUAUUAAUCUUGAACGAGGAAUGCCUAGUAAGCAUGAUUCAUUAGAUUGUGCUGACUACGUCCCUGCCCUUUGUACACACCGCCCGUCGCUCCUACCGAUUGAAAGAUAUGAUAAAUUGUUUGGAUAUGAAUUAAAAUAAUGAAAUUUUAUAUUUCUGAUUUUUUCUAGAAGAACUGUAAAUCCUAUCUUUUAAAGGAAGGAGAAGUCGUAACAAGGUUUCCGUAGGUGAACCUGCGGAAG